UCGGGAAUAUUGCGCAAUGGAGGGAACUCUGACGCAGUGACGCCGCGUAUGGGAAGAAGGUUUUCGGAUUGUAAACCAUUGUCGUUAGGGAAGAAGAAGUGACAGUACCUAAGGAGGAAGCACCGGCUAACUAUGUGCCAGCAGCCGCGGUAAUACAUAGGGUGCAAGCGUUAUCCGGAUUUAUUGGGUGUAAAGGGUGCGUAGACGGGAAUACAAGUUGGUUGUGAAAUCCCUCGGCUCAACCGAGGAACUGCAACCAAAACUAUAUUUCUUGAGUGCUGGAGAGGAAAGUGGAAUUCCUAGUGUAGCGGUGAAAUGCGUAGAUAUUAGGAGGAACACCAGUGGCGAAGGCGACUUUCUGGACAGUAACUGACGUUGAGGCACGAAAGUGUGGGGAGCAAACAGG
Molecule: ribosomal RNA, 406 nt
Filed under: uncultured bacterium
Lineage: Bacteria
Description: bacterial SSU rRNA
Rfam family: Bacterial small subunit ribosomal RNA
Source: RNAcentral